GACGGAGGAGGCAAGAGGUGUCUGGAAUUAUUGGGCGGAAAGCGUCCGCAGGUGGCGAUUCAAGUCUGCUGUCAAAGGUCGGGGCUUAACCCCGGGAAGGCAGUGGAAACUGAAUAGCUAGAGUGCGGUAGGGGCAGAGGGAAUUCCCGGUGUAGCGGUGAAAUGCGUAGAGAUCGGGAAGAACGCCAGUGGCGAAAGCGCUCUGCUGGGCCUGCACUGACACUGAGGGACGACAGCUAGGGGAGCUAAAGGG
RNAcentral lists this ribosomal RNA (253 nucleotides) under uncultured bacterium. Its description in RNAcentral is "partial 16S ribosomal RNA". It matches the Rfam family "Bacterial small subunit ribosomal RNA", at positions 524 to 776 of the family's 1533-position model. The record is from RNAcentral.